RNAcentral lists this ribosomal RNA (812 nucleotides) under Magnaporthaceae sp. Its description in RNAcentral is "partial large subunit ribosomal RNA". It matches the Rfam family "Eukaryotic large subunit ribosomal RNA", at positions 71 to 913 of the family's 3401-position model. Lineage: Eukaryota; Fungi; Ascomycota; Sordariomycetes; Magnaporthales; Magnaporthaceae. The record is from RNAcentral.
GGGAUUGCCCUAGUAACGGCGAGUGAAGCGGCAACAGCUCAAAUUUGAAAUCUGGCUCUAGGCCCGAGUUGUAAUUUGCAGAGGAUGCUUUUGGCGAAGUGCUUACCGAGUCCCCUGGAAUGGGGCGCCACAGAGGGUGAGAGCCCCGUAUGGUUUGCCACUGAACCUUUGUAAAGCUCCUUCGACGAGUCGAGUAGUUUGGGAAUGCUGCUCUAAAUGGGAGGUAAAUUUCUUCUAAAGCUAAAUACCGGCCAGAGACCGAUAGCGCACAAGUAGAGUGAUCGAAAGAUGAAAAGCACUUUGAAAAGAGGGUUAAAUAGCACGUGAAAUUGUUGAAAGGGAAGCGCUCGUGACCAGACUUGCGCCCGGCGGAUCAUCCAGCGUUCUCGCUGGUGCACUCCGCCGGGCUCAGGCCAGCAUCGGUUUUCGCCGGGGGACAAAGGCUUCGGGAACGUAGCUCUCUUCGGGGAGUGUUAUAGCCCGUUGCGUAAUACCCCGGCGGGGACCGAGGACCGCGCUUCGGCAAGGAUGCUGGCGUAAUGGUCAUCAGCGACCCGUCUUGAAACACGGACCGAGGAGUCAAGCAUUAGUGCGAGUGUUUGGGUGUAAAACCCGCACGCGUAAUGAAAGUGAACGUAGGUGAGAGCUUCGGCGCAUCAUCGACCGAUCCUGAUGUUUUCGGAUGGAUUUGAGUAGGAGCAUUAACGCUUGGACCCGAAAGAUGGUGAACUAUACUUGAAUAGGGUGAAGCCAGAGGAAACUCUGGUGGAGGCUCGCAGCGGUUCUGACGUGCAAAUCGAUCGUCAAAUUUG